CUCCUUUGACGUUAGCGGCGGACGGGUGAGUAACACGUGGGUAACCUACCUAUAAGACUGGGAUAACUUCGGGAAACCGGAGCUAAUACCGGAUAAUAUUUCGAACCGCAUGGUUCGAUAGUGAAAGGUGGUUUUGCUAUCACUUAUAGAUGGACCCGCGCCGUAUUAGCUAGUUGGUAAGGUAACGGCUUACCAAGGCUACGAUACGUAGCCGACCUGAGAGGGUGAUCGGCCACACUGGAACUGAGACACGGUCCAGACUCCUACGGGAGGCAGCAGCG
This 281-nucleotide ribosomal RNA is filed under the name uncultured Staphylococcus sp. Its description in RNAcentral is "partial 16S ribosomal RNA". It matches the Rfam family "Bacterial small subunit ribosomal RNA", at positions 81 to 356 of the family's 1533-position model. Lineage: Bacteria; Bacillati; Bacillota; Bacilli; Caryophanales; Staphylococcaceae. The record is from RNAcentral.